CGCCGCCGUCGCCCAUAUCUCGCCGUUCCUCUCCACCGCCCAUGCCCGCCGUCUCUCUCCCUCCUCUCCGUUACCACCUCGUUUUGCACCUACCCAACUCAGCUUCAACACCGCUGGAGCCCCUUCUUCCUGUUUCCCCCUCAGCACAAACCGCAGCAGCAGAGCCACCACCGUACCGUCGGCCACCAAGUUCUCCAAUGGGAGAUACAUCAGAGAAGACUAUCUUGUGAAGAAGCUGUCGGCUAAGG
Molecule: unclassified non-coding RNA, 248 nt
Filed under: Hevea brasiliensis (rubber tree)
Lineage: Eukaryota; Viridiplantae; Streptophyta; Magnoliopsida; Malpighiales; Euphorbiaceae
Source: RNAcentral